Pelobates cultripes (western spadefoot toad) is the source of this 733-nucleotide non-coding RNA. The record is from the annotation of a GenBank genome assembly. Lineage: Eukaryota; Metazoa; Chordata; Amphibia; Anura; Pelobatidae.
GGUCAAAGUUUACCGCAUAUGUUCGUCGUCCACGGCGAACCGUUCGGGACAUCACUAGUCACCAAGUGUGUGAGAGAGCACUCUCGUGGCCAAUGUAAUGUCUUUGUUGCCACUGGAAAUCUCGUCCGGCAUCUUUUCCCUAUUGCAUGGUACAUGCAAGAGGCUCUUUGAAGUCCUAGGCAAUCUAAAUGCCGGAGUAAGUCCUGGGUGCUGGAGCAAGUACCAUGAGUGCAAUCUCAGUGUUGGGGUAAGUCCUGGGUGCUGGUGUGGGUACUGGGACAAGUCCUGUGAGUGCAAUCUCAGUGUUUCGGUAAGUCCUGGUUGCUGUAGCAAGUCCUGGGAGUGCAAUCUGUGUGCUCGGGUAAGUUAAUAUAUGCCCCCACUAUAUAGAAAGGGUUAUGUCUCACACACUGCCCUAAAAUAUAUACCCAUGCAAUUCAAAUAACCUUGUGUACAUACUGGGGCCUAUAUAUUGCCCUGUGCAUGGGGUAUAUAUCAGGGCAAUGUGUGGGGUAUCACCUUGUAUAAACUGGUGAUAUAUAUUGCCCUGGGAAGGUGUAUAUAUCAGUCGUAUCUAUAAAUAAUAAUACACUUUUCAAAUGUACUUUUAAAAUGCAUGGUUACUCUUUGUUGAACAAGAAUGUAGUGUUAUAAGAUGGGGCUGGUAUAAUAAUGCAAUGCUAUGGGGCUGCUUUUAUUUCCAUGGCUGGUCUUUAUUCCCAGUCUAGCACUA